RNAcentral lists this ribosomal RNA (253 nucleotides) under uncultured bacterium. RNAcentral describes it as "partial 16S ribosomal RNA". It matches the Rfam family "Bacterial small subunit ribosomal RNA", at positions 524 to 776 of the family's 1533-position model. The record is from RNAcentral.
UACGUAGGGUGCGAGCGUUGUUCGGAAUUACUGGGCGUAAAGAGCUCGUAGGUGGUUUGUCGCGUUGUCUGUGAAAACUCACAGCUCAAUUGUGGGCGUGCGGGCGAUACGGGCAGACUGGAGUACUGCAGGGGAGACUGGAAUUCCUGGUGUAGCGGUGAAAUGCGUAGAGAUCGGCAGGAACACCCAGGGGGAAACCAGUCGACUGGGCAUCUACUGACGCUGAGGUGCGAGAGCGUGGGGAGCGAACCGG